Molecule: ribosomal RNA, 557 nt
Filed under: uncultured bacterium
Lineage: Bacteria
Description: bacterial SSU rRNA
Rfam family: Bacterial small subunit ribosomal RNA
Source: RNAcentral
ACGGGUGAGUAACGCGUGGGAAUCUACCCAUCUCUACGGAACAACUCCGGGAAACUGGAGCUAAUACCGUAUACGUCCUUUUGGAGAAAGAUUUAUCGGAGAUGGAUGAGCCCGCGUUGGAUUAGCUAGUUGGUGGGGUAAUGGCCUACCAAGGCGACGAUCCAUAGCUGGUCUGAGAGGAUGAUCAGCCACACUGGGACUGAGACACGGCCCAGACUCCUACGGGAGGCAGCAGUGGGGAAUAUUGGGCAAUGGGCGCAAGCCUGAUCCAGCCAUGCCGCGUGAGUGAUGAAGGCCCUAGGGUUGUAAAGCUCUUUCAACGGUGAAGAUAAUGACGGUAACCGUAGAAGAAGCCCCGGCUAACUUCGUGCCAGCAGCCGCGGUAAUACGAAGGGGGCUAGCGUUGUUCGGAAUUACUGGGCGUAAAGCGCACGUAGGCGGAUUGUUAAGUUAGGGGUGAAAUCCCAGGGCUCAACCCUGGAACUGCCUUUAAUACUGGCAAUCUCGAGUCCGAGAGAGGUGAGUGGAAUUCCGAGUGUAGAGGUGAAAUUCGUAGA